This 429-nucleotide ribosomal RNA is filed under the name Bacteroidota bacterium. Its description in RNAcentral is "Bacteroidetes bacterium partial 16S ribosomal RNA". It matches the Rfam family "Bacterial small subunit ribosomal RNA", at positions 355 to 776 of the family's 1533-position model. Lineage: Bacteria; Pseudomonadati; Bacteroidota. The record is from RNAcentral.
UAGGGAAUCUUCCGCAAUGGACGCAAGUCUGACGGAGCAACGCCGCGUGAGUGAAGAAGGAUUUCGGUUCGUAAAACUCUGUUGUUAUAGAAGAACAGCGCAUAGAGUAACUGUUAUGCGUGUGACGGUAUCUAACCAGAAAGCCACGGCUAACUACGUGCCAGCAGCCGCGGUAAUACGUAGGUGGCAAGCGUUGUCCGGAUUUAUUGGGCGUAAAGCGAGCGCAGGCGGUCAAUUAAGUCUGAUGUGAAAGCCCCCGGCUCAACCGGGGAGGGUCAUUGGAAACUGGUUGACUUGAGUGCAGAAGAGGAGAGUGGAAUUCCAUGUGUAGCGGUGAAAUGCGUAGAUAUAUGGAGGAACUCCAGUGGCGAAGGCGACUCUCUGGUCUGUAACUGACGCUGAGGCUCGAAAGCGUGGGUAGCAAACAGG